Molecule: long non-coding RNA, 759 nt
Filed under: Homo sapiens (human)
Lineage: Eukaryota; Metazoa; Chordata; Mammalia; Primates; Hominidae
Description: HSALNT0330749
Source: RNAcentral
UGAGGCACAGAAAGCCCAAGCUCUUGCACAAGGAUCAGAAGGGGGUAUAACCAGAAUUUGUUUCUCAGCAUCCUGACCAACAAUUAUUUUACCUACUAAACAGGGAAGCCUUUCAAAUAUAAUCCAGGGUAUCCGCUUCAUUUUACAACUAAAGAAAUGAAGGCUGGGUAAGGAUAAAGGACUCACAAAGAUCGUGUGUUUAGUUUCUGCUGGUCUAGACAUCUGGGUUCCAAAAGAAGAAUGCAUCUCCCAGGAGACAUGACAAUGAUUCCAUUCAACAGGAAGUUGAGACUGCCACCUGAACACUUUGGGCUCCUCAUGCCUCUGAAUCAACGGGCAAAGAAGAGAGUUAUAGAUCCUAACCACCCAGGAGAAAUUCGGUGGCCACUACACAAACAGAGUAAGAGGAGCAUUUCUAUGAUGCGGGAGAUCCUCUAGAAUGUUUGUUGGUAUUCCCAGGUCCUGUGAUUAAAGUAUGUGGAAAACUAUAGCAGCCCAAUUCAGGAUGUUUCCAGAUACUUCACUUUUCUGACUCUGCGGCCAGGUGUUUGUAUUUAACUCCACGGUGAGGAGACUCAUCUUCUGACGGACCUAACCUAUACCAUCAAGCUCCAGCACCACAAGCAAAGACAAAAACCUUGCGGAAACUAUUUAACUAACUCCCACAAUUGCAUAAGGAUCUAAAUGAAAAUAUUUCUGCAGUGAACCAGUUCUAUUGUUUUAAAUAUCACCCUUAUUAAAGAGAGCUUUGACACUUUU